RNAcentral lists this ribosomal RNA (253 nucleotides) under uncultured bacterium. Its description in RNAcentral is "partial 16S ribosomal RNA". It matches the Rfam family "Bacterial small subunit ribosomal RNA", at positions 524 to 776 of the family's 1533-position model. The record is from RNAcentral.
UACGAAGGGGGCUAGCGUUGCUCGGAACCACUGGGCGUAAAGCGCACGUAGGCGGAUUGCUAAGUCAGGGGUGAAAUCCUGGAGCUCAACUCCAGAACUGCCUUUGAUACUGGCGACCUUGAGUCCGGGAGAGGUGAGUGGAACUGCGAGUGUAGAGGUGAAAUUCGUAGAUAUUCGCAAGAACACCAGUGGCGAAGGCGGCUCACUGGCCCGGUACUGACGCUGAGGUGCGAAAGCGUGGGGAGCAAACAGG